CUAAAUUCUUAAUCAGAAACCCUAACCCUAGCCCCUUACCACACCCAGCCGCUGCCCCACCCUCCCUCAACGUAACAGCACACACUCACGCUUAGAGAGAAGAUCUGAGGCAGAGCUAGCACUGACAGAAGGGAGGAAGAGCGUUGCCGGCCUGGUGCCACUGUCGUCGUCGCGUCCUGCCAUCCCUGCCACGAUGAAGCUGCCGAACUAGGCUGAGGGAGAGAGAGAUUGAAACGAGCUUUGAGGAAGAGUGUUGCGCGAGAAUGGAGAAGGAGAGGAACCGUCGCGAGCUGGCCAUCGAGGGAGUCGUUGCUGCGAAAUCGUCGCCGUUGAGAAGCUGCCGCCGUGUCCAGUUCACCACCAACAUCAUGCCGUUCGCGCCGUCGCCACCGAGAGCAGAACCGGGAAGAGAGUUGGCUCGCGAGUGAGGGUGGCCACGGGCUUGGAGCCACCGCUGCCUCGCGCCGUCGCCCUCGCCGUGAAUCCCGUCGCCCCUGCUGCAGCUGCCUUGCGCCGUCGUCCUUGCUAGCAGCGAGAGAGAAACAAGGUGAAUCCCCUUCGUUUUUGCUGCUCUGGUCCGCUGAGAAAGGGGAGACGCCGCCAUUGUGCUUCACGGUCGCCGGUGAUGCAGCCCGCGUCGCCGAAACUGCUCGGAGGUUUCCGUUACUCAUUCUGAUUCUAUCCUUUUCAAGAAUCUCACUGCUACCACUGGAAUCACAAACCAGAAAGGGGAGGAUGCCGUUUUCCUUGUUGCUGUUGUUGCCAUGGGAACUGGUGCUGGGAACUGCUAACGGAACUGCUGUGCUUGGCGAUCUUCGUGAGUUUCGACAUCGAGUUUACCCUCGGCAACAGAAGCCAUAAGAUGCUACAUAUGACAUGAAGCUUUCUCCAUGAGUGUUGACUGGCUUCUAAUGUGACAGCAAAGUAAAGAUAAACACUACAAAGGAGAACUAGUAGAACAAGAGUUGACAAGAGUGACCCCGUGCCUCUCCAUGAGUGUUGACCAACUUUCCAGCUCAUUCUUAAUUAAGAAGGUGCUAAAAAUUUGAGUCGAUAAACAACUUACCAAGCAUAACCUCGCUUCUGGAAAGGUGGUGCCUCCUGCAGUGUGAAGAGAGGUACCUCGAGUUAAUUUUCCAACAGCUGUAUUUCUCACCUGUAAUUGUCUGUAGGCAUCAGUGUCCCAACGUCUCAUUAAUUCACCAUGAACUUUUGGUGGGAUCCAAUAUGGAUGGGCU
This is a long non-coding RNA of Arachis stenosperma, 1238 nucleotides long. RefSeq lists it as uncharacterized. Lineage: Eukaryota; Viridiplantae; Streptophyta; Magnoliopsida; Fabales; Fabaceae. The transcript is spliced from 3 exons. The record is from RefSeq and is a predicted model, not a curated record.